GUGCCAGCAGCCGCGGUAAUACCGGCAGCCCGAGUGAUGGCCGAUCUUAUUGGGCCUAAAGCGUCCGUAGCUGGCCGUGCAAGUCCAUCGGGAAAUCCGCGCGCUUAACGCGCGGGCGUCCAGCGGAAACUGUUCAGCUUGGGACCGGAAGACCUGAGGGGUACGUCUGGGGUAGGAGUGAAAUCCUGUAAUCCUGGACGGACCGCCGGUGGCGAAAGCGCCUCAGGAGAACGGAUCCGACAGUGAGGGACGAAAGCCAGGGUCUCGAACCGGAUUAGAUACCCGAGUAGU
Molecule: ribosomal RNA, 291 nt
Filed under: uncultured prokaryote
Description: partial 16S ribosomal RNA
Rfam family: Archaeal small subunit ribosomal RNA
Source: RNAcentral